This 252-nucleotide ribosomal RNA is filed under the name uncultured bacterium. RNAcentral describes it as "partial 16S ribosomal RNA". It matches the Rfam family "Bacterial small subunit ribosomal RNA", at positions 524 to 776 of the family's 1533-position model. The record is from RNAcentral.
UACGUAGGGGGCAAGCGUUAUCCGGAUUUACUGGGUGUAAAGGGGGCGCAGGUGGUUUAUUAAGUCUGGUGUAAAAGGCAGUGGCUCAACCAUUGUAUGCAUUGGAAACUGGUAGACUUGAGUGCAGGAGAGGAGAGUGGAAUUCCAUGUGUAGCGGUGAAAUGCGUAGAUAUAUGGAGGAACACCGGUGGCGAAAGCGGCUCUCUGGCCUGUAACUGACACUGAGGCUCGAAAGCGUGGGGAGCAAACAGG